RNAcentral lists this long non-coding RNA (206 nucleotides) under Mytilus galloprovincialis (Mediterranean mussel). The record is from RNAcentral. Lineage: Eukaryota; Metazoa; Mollusca; Bivalvia; Mytilida; Mytilidae.
GCCUUCAACAAUGAGCAAAGCCCAUACCGCAUAGUCAGCUAUAAAAGGCCCCGAUAUGACAAUGUAAAACAAUUCAAAAGAGAAAACUAACGGCCUUAUUUGUAUAAAAUAUGAACGAAAAACAAAUAUGUAACACAUAAACAAACGACAACCACUGAAUUACAGGCUCCUAACUUGGGACAGGCACAUACAUAAAUAAUGUGGCG